This 543-nucleotide unclassified non-coding RNA is filed under the name Hevea brasiliensis (rubber tree). Lineage: Eukaryota; Viridiplantae; Streptophyta; Magnoliopsida; Malpighiales; Euphorbiaceae. The record is from RNAcentral.
GAGCAUUAUGCUUGCAUGGUAGAUAUCCUCGGCCGAGCUGGAUAUCUUGAAGAAGCAGUUGCAAUUAUCAGAACAAUGCCUGUGAAGCCAAGCAAAAAUGUUUAUGGUGCCUUGCUUGGUGCUUGUAGAAUACACAACAACAUAGAACUCGCUGAAGAAGCUGCAGAGAGAUUAUUUGUUUUGGACCCUGAUAAUGCUGGACGGUACAUAAUCCUGGCCAAGAUGUAUGAAGAUGCAGAGAGGUGGGAGGAUUCAGCCAGGGUGAGGAAGUUGCUUAGAGAAAGGAAAAUUAAGAAGCCAAUUGGCUGUAGUUCAAUUGAAGUAGAUUGUGCUCACCACUCAUUUGGAGUUGAAGAUGAGUCUCAUCCAUACAAGGAGCAGAUCUAUGAUGCAUUGGAGAGAUUGGAUAGGAUAAUGGAGGACGAGUUGAUGCAGAUGUGAUCAUUCGCAAGGGUGCCUUUGAUGCUCAAAUAGAAUGGGAGAAAUCAAAAAGGAAAUAGUACUUAAAAAACACAAUCAUAGGUUAACAAGCCACUGGUUGCA